GGGGCUAGCGGAUGGAAGUGCUAGUCUAAGGUCGUAGGAGGUUAUACAGGCAAAUCCGUAUAACAAUACUCCGAGAACUGAAAGGCUUUUUGAAGUCUUCGGAUGGAUAGAAGAACCCCUGAUGCCAUCGAGCCAAGAAAAGUUUCUAAGUUUAGCUAAUGUUGCCCGUACCGUAAACCGACACAGGUGGGUGGGAUGAGUAUUCUAAGGCGCGUGGAAGAACUCUCUUUAAGGAACUCUGCAAAAUAGCACCGUAUCUUCGGUAUAAGGUGUGGUUCGCUUCGUAUUAGGAUUUACUCCGAAAGCGAAGAAACUUACAACAAAGAGUCCCUCCCGACUGUUUACCAAAAACACAGCACUCUGCUAACUCGUAAGAGGAUGUAUAGGGUGUGACGCCUGCCCGGUGCUCGAAGGUUAAUUGAUGGGGUUAGCAUUAGCGAAGCUCUUGAUCGAAGCCCGAGUAAACGGCGGCCGUAACUAUAACGGUCCUAAGGUAGCGAAAUUCCUUGUCGGUUAAAUACCGACCUGCAUGAAUGGCGUAACGAGAUGGGAGCUGUCUCAAAGAGGGAUCCAGUGAAAUUGUAGUGGAGGUGAAAAUUCCUCCUACCCGCGGCAAGACGGAAAGACCCCGUGGACCUUUACUACAGCUUGACACUGCUAUUUGGAUAAGAAUGUGCAGGAUAGGUGGGAGGCUUUGAGUAUAUGACGCCAGUUGUAUAUGAGCCAUUGUUGAGAUACCACUCUUUCUUAUUUGGGUAGCUAACCAGCUUGAGUUAUCCUCAAGUGGGACAAUGUCUGGUGGGUAGUUUGACUGGGGCGGUCGCCUCCCAAAUAAUAACGGAGGCUUACAAAGGUUGGCUCAGAACGGUUGGAAAUCGUUCGUAGAGUAUAAAGGUAUAAGCCAGCUUAACUGCAAGACAUACAAGUCAAGCAGAGACGAAAGUCGGUCUUAGUGAUCCGGUGGUUCUGUGUGGAAGGGCCAUCGCUCAAAGGAUAAAAGGUACCCCGGGGAUAACAGGCUGAUCUCCCCCAAGAGCUCACAUCGACGGGGAGGUUUGGCACCUCGAUGUCGGCUCAUCGCAUCCUGGGGCUGGAGCAGGUCCCAAGGGUAUGGCUGUUCGCCAUUUAAAGCGGUACGCGAGCUGGGUUCAGAACGUCGUGAGACAGUUCGGUCCCUAUCUGCCGUGGGCGUAAGAAGAUUGAAGAGAUUUGACCCUAGUACGAGAGGACCGGGUUGAACAAACCACUGGUGUAGCUGUUGUUCUGCCAAGAGCAUCGCAGCGUAGCUAAGUUUGGAAAGGAUAAACGCUGAAAGCAUCUAAGCGUGAAGCCAACUCUAAGAUGAAUCUUCUCUAAGCUCUCUAGAAGACUACUAGUUUGAUAGGCUGGGUGUGUAAUGGAUGAAAGUCCUUUAGCUGACCAGUACUAAUAGAGCGUUUGGCUUAUCUUU
This 1450-nucleotide ribosomal RNA is filed under the name Campylobacter coli. RNAcentral describes it as "partial 23S ribosomal RNA". It matches the Rfam family "Bacterial large subunit ribosomal RNA", at positions 1487 to 2925 of the family's 2925-position model. Lineage: Bacteria; Pseudomonadati; Campylobacterota; Epsilonproteobacteria; Campylobacterales; Campylobacteraceae. The record is from RNAcentral.